This 360-nucleotide long non-coding RNA is filed under the name Mus spicilegus (steppe mouse). RNAcentral's name for it is "lncRNA (ENSMSIG00000019495.1)". Lineage: Eukaryota; Metazoa; Chordata; Mammalia; Rodentia; Muridae. The record is from RNAcentral.
CGACUUUCUGAAGGAACCCUUCUCCAUCAGCGAUGUGGACGUGUUCCGACAUUAUGACCAUAGCAGUGCUUCUGAAAUAUUGUGAUAUAAAAGAACGACUCACAGGUCUUCCUCCCAGUCCCAGUGAAGUCGCACUCUCACUUCGUAUUCAGCUUCAGAAUCACCAGCUGUAGAAGACUUUGCUCCAUCUUCUUUGCCAAGUCUUUGCUGUUGAAAGUUACUGCUUACAAUACCAUCAACUAUAUCUCAAUGUAUGUUUGAUUAUACCAUGUAUCUUUCCUCUUUGUAUUACAAACAGGCUCCAUAUGUAAUAGAUAAUGAUAAAAUAAAUAAAUGAAAUGAAAUAAAAAAUUAAAAAAA